CUGUUUUUUGCCUUCCCCACAGGAUUACACAUGAACACAUGGUCAGCAGGCUUGAGUGACCUCUGUCCAGACUCCAGCCUCAAGGACUAGGCCUGUCCAAGCAAGGAGGGUCAAGCCAAGAAACCAUCAGAUACUUCAGUUUUUACUGUGUCCGAUUGAAAUCAUAAUCUAUAAACCUGGGCAGAGGCUCCAUCCAUCAGACACCAAAGGCCAAACCUGCCAUCAUCAAUAACAAGGAUGAUCUUGAUGUUGGCACCAGGAAAUGAGGAGAGUUAAUGCAGGCCCAGCAACUCAGGGAUGCCAGCAG
RNAcentral lists this long non-coding RNA (307 nucleotides) under Fukomys damarensis (Damara mole-rat). RNAcentral's name for it is "lncRNA (ENSFDAG00000024989.1)". Lineage: Eukaryota; Metazoa; Chordata; Mammalia; Rodentia; Bathyergidae. The record is from RNAcentral.